AUUGAACGCUGGCGGCAUGCUUUACACAUGCAAGUCGGACGGCAGCACAGAGAAGCUUGCUUCUUGGGUGGCGAGUGGCGAACGGGUGAGUAAUAUAUCGGAACGUACCGAGUAAUGGGGGAUAACUAAUCGAAAGAUUAGCUAAUACCGCAUAUUCUCUGAGGAGGAAAGCAGGGGACCUUCGGGCCUUGCGUUAUUCGAGCGGCCGAUAUCUGAUUAGCUAGUUGGUGGGGUAAAGGCCUACCAAGGCGACGAUCAGUAGCGGGUCUGAGAGGAUGAUCCGCCACACUGGGACUGAGACACGGCCCAGACUCCUACGGGAGGCAGCAGUGGGGAAUUUUGGACAAUGGGCGCAAGCCUGAUCCAGCCAUGCCGCGUGUCUGAAGAAGGCCUUCGGGUUGUAAAGGACUUUUGUCAGGGAAGAAAAGGCUGUUGCUAAUACCGACAGCUGAUG
This 454-nucleotide ribosomal RNA is filed under the name Neisseria flavescens. Its description in RNAcentral is "bacterial SSU rRNA". It matches the Rfam family "Bacterial small subunit ribosomal RNA", at positions 30 to 484 of the family's 1533-position model. The record is from RNAcentral. Lineage: Bacteria; Pseudomonadati; Pseudomonadota; Betaproteobacteria; Neisseriales; Neisseriaceae.